Bos taurus (domestic cattle) is the source of this 797-nucleotide long non-coding RNA. NCBI's taxonomy places the organism in Eukaryota, Metazoa, Chordata, Mammalia, Artiodactyla, Bovidae. The record is from Ensembl.
GUUGUGAGGGGUUUUCAUAGUAUGUGCCCAGUCAUGUCUGAUUCUUUGCAACCCCAUGGACUGUGGCCUUCCAGGCUCCUCUGUCCAUGGAUUUUCCUGGCAAGAAUACUGGAGUAGGUUGCCAUUUUCUCCUCCAGGGGAUCUUCCUGACCCGGGGAUUGAACCUGAGUGUCCUGCAUUGACAAGCAGAUUCUUUACCACAAGUGCCACCUGAGAAGCCCCUUUGAUAGGCUCGGAAGGAAGAAAUCACACAUGUGGGGUUAUCUUGGAGUUGUGAGGGUGGAAGAGGUUGUAUAUUUGAUGCACUCAUUUAAAACACUCAGUAAGAAACUCUCAGGCCACUUAACAAGAGUAUUUGGAUGCUGGGAAAAUCCAAGACUCCCUCAGAAAACCCACACCCAGAGAGAGCUUCCUGCUUUCCAGAGCAGCUGUGGCCUGGAUUCCAGCCUCCAUCUCUGGGUUGGCCAGGAGAAGCCCUGGGCCCACACAGCUCUCCCUUACUCACGCCAGGAGGGACUAACACAGAUGAAGGUAUUUCACACAACAAAUACAACUCAACCAUGAGGAAGACGGAGCUGCCCCUCCAUUCAACCACACGAGCCAGCGUCACAAGCAAACUGUUGGCUUGCAGGCGCCUCCCUCCACGGGAUUUUCCUGGCAAGAACACUGGAGUGGUCUGCCAUGCAAUCCUCCCGCGGAUCUUCCAGGAACUGGACCUGUGUCUCCUGCAUGGCAGGCAGGUUCUUUACCACUGAGCCACCGAGGAAGCUCCUUAAUGUAUAUACUCUACCUCAAAA